Molecule: ribosomal RNA, 252 nt
Filed under: uncultured bacterium
Lineage: Bacteria
Description: partial 16S ribosomal RNA
Rfam family: Bacterial small subunit ribosomal RNA
Source: RNAcentral
ACGGAGGGUGCAAGCGUUGUCCGGAUUUACUGGGUUUAGAGGGUCCGUAGGCGGAUUUUUAAGUCAGUGGUGAAAGCCUGCAGCUCAACUGCAGAACUGCCAUUGAUACUGAAAGUCUUGAGUAUAUUUGAGGUAGGCGGAAUUUAUGAUGUAGCGGUGAAAUGCAUAGAUAUCAUAAAGAACACCAAUUGCGAAGGCAGCUUACUAAACUAUUACUGACGCUCAGGGACGAAAGCGUGGGGAGCGAACAGG